This 3022-nucleotide ribosomal RNA is filed under the name Providencia rettgeri. Its description in RNAcentral is "23S ribosomal RNA". It matches the Rfam family "Bacterial large subunit ribosomal RNA". The record is from RNAcentral. Lineage: Bacteria; Pseudomonadati; Pseudomonadota; Gammaproteobacteria; Enterobacterales; Morganellaceae.
GGUUAAGCGACUAAGCGUACACGGUGGAUGCCUAGGCAAUCAGAGGCGAUGAAGGACGUGCUAAUCUGCGAUAAGCGUCGGUAAGGUGAUAUGAACCGUUACAACCGACGAUUUCCGAAUGGGGAAACCCAGUGCAAUUCGUUGCACUAUCGUUUGAUGAAUACAUAGUCAAACGAAGCGAACCGGGGGAACUGAAACAUCUCAGUACCCCGAGGAAAAGAAAUCAACCGAGAUUCCCCUAGUAGCGGCGAGCGAACGGGGAGCAGCCCAGAGUCUUAAUCAGCAUUAGCAUCAGGAGAACGGUCUGGAAAGUCCGGCAGUAAAGGGUGAUAGCCCCGUAUCCGAAGGUGUUAGUGUUGUGAACUCGACGAGUAGGGCGGGACACGUGUUAUCCUGUCUGAAUAUGGGGGGACCAUCCUCCAAGGCUAAAUACUCCUGAUUGACCGAUAGUGAACCAGUACCGUGAGGGAAAGGCGAAAAGAACCCCGGCGAGGGGAGUGAAAUAGAACCUGAAACCGUGUACGUACAAGCAGUGGGAGCCUUGAUUUAUCAGGGUGACUGCGUACCUUUUGUAUAAUGGGUCAGCGACUUAUAUUCUGUAGCAAGGUUAACCGAAUAGGGGAGCCGUAGGGAAACCGAGUCUUAACUGGGCGAAUGAGUUGCAGGGUAUAGACCCGAAACCCGGUGAUCUAGCCAUGGGCAGGUUGAAGGUUGGGUAACACUAACUGGAGGACCGAACCGACUAAUGUUGAAAAAUUAGCGGAUGACUUGUGGCUGGGGGUGAAAGGCCAAUCAAACCGGGAGAUAGCUGGUUCUCCCCGAAAGCUAUUUAGGUAGCGCCUCGUGAACUCAUCUUCGGGGGUAGAGCACUGUUUCGACUAGGGGGUCAUCCCGACUUACCAACUCGAUGCAAACUACGAAUACCGAAGAAUGUUAUCACGGGAGACACACGGCGGGUGCUAACGUUCGUCGUGAAGAGGGAAACAACCCAGACCGCCAGCUAAGGUCCCAAAGUCAUAGUUAAGUGGGAAACGAAGUGGGAAGGCUCAGACAGCCAGGAUGUUGGCUUAGAAGCAGCCAUCAUUUAAAGAAAGCGUAAUAGCUCACUGGUCGAGUCGGCCUGCGCGGAAGAUGUAACGGGGCUAAACUAUGCACCGAAGCUGCGGCAGCGAACGUAUCACUUAAACUGAUUAAGUGAUACUCAAAUGUAUCAAAACGAUUGACGGAGCGAAGCGACGUCAAUGCGUCCAACAAAGUCGAGGCGGAAACGUCAGGCAGUCAGUUUAAGGAUACGUUCGUUGGGUAGGGGAGCGUUCUGUAAGCCUGUGAAGGUGUGCUGUGAGGCAUGCUGGAGGUAUCAGAAGUGCGAAUGCUGACAUAAGUAACGAUAAUGCGGGUGAAAAACCCGCACGCCGGAAGACCAAGGGUUCCUGUCCAACGUUAAUCGGGGCAGGGUGAGUCGACCCCUAAGGCGAGGCAGAAAUGCGUAGUCGAUGGGAAACGGGUUAAUAUUCCCGUACUGGUGAUAAUUGCGAUGGGGGGACGGAGAAGGCUAGGCUAUCCGGGCGACGGUUGUCCCGGUUUAAGGAUGUAGGCAGGUGAAUUAGGCAAAUCCGGUUCACUAUAUGCUGAGGUCCGACGACGAGUCACUACGGUGAUGAAGUAGCUCAUGCCCCGCUUCCAGGAAAAGCCUCUAAGCUCUAGAUUAUCAUUAAUCGUACCCCAAACCGACACAGGUGGUCAGGUAGAGAAUACUCAGGCGCUUGAGAGAACUCGGGUGAAGGAACUAGGCAAAAUGGUGCCGUAACUUCGGGAGAAGGCACGCUGGCAUUAGGUGAAGUGGUUUACCCAUGGAGCUGAAGCCAGUCGCAGAUACCAGCUGGCUGCAACUGUUUAUUAAAAACACAGCACUGUGCAAACACGAAAGUGGACGUAUACGGUGUGACGCCUGCCCGGUGCUGGAAGGUUAAUUGAUGGGGUUAUCCGUAAGGAGAAGCUCUUGAUCGAAGCCCCAGUAAACGGCGGCCGUAACUAUAACGGUCCUAAGGUAGCGAAAUUCCUUGUCGGGUAAGUUCCGACCUGCACGAAUGGCGUAAUGAUGGCCAGGCUGUCUCCACCCGAGACUCAGUGAAAUUGAACUCGCUGUGAAGAUGCAGUGUACCCGCGGCAAGACGGAAAGACCCCGUGAACCUUUACUAUAGCUUGACACUGAACAUUGAGCCUUGAUGUGUAGGAUAGGUGGGAGGCUUUGAAGUGUGGACGCCAGUCUGCAUGGAGCCAACCUUGAAAUACCACCCUUUAAUGUUUGAUGUUCUAACGUUGCCCCAUUAUCUGGGGUGCGGACAGUGUCUGGUGGGUAGUUUGACUGGGGCGGUCUCCUCCCAAAGAGUAACGGAGGAGCACGAAGGUUGGCUAAGCAUGGUCGGACAUCAUGCGGUUAGUGCAAAGGCAUAAGCCAGCUUGACUGCGAGAGUGACGGCUCGAGCAGGUACGAAAGUAGGUCUUAGUGAUCCGGUGGUUCUGAAUGGAAGGGCCAUCGCUCAACGGAUAAAAGGUACUCCGGGGAUAACAGGCUGAUACCGCCCAAGAGUUCAUAUCGACGGCGGUGUUUGGCACCUCGAUGUCGGCUCAUCACAUCCUGGGGCUGAAGUAGGUCCCAAGGGUACGGCUGUUCGCCGUUUAAAGUGGUACGCGAGCUGGGUUUAGAACGUCGUGAGACAGUUCGGUCCCUAUCUGCCGUGGGCGUUGGAAGAUUGAAAGGGGCUGCUCCUAGUACGAGAGGACCGGAGUGGACGCACCACUGGUGUUCGGGUUGUCAUGCCAAUGGCAUUGCCCGGUAGCUAAGUGCGGAAGAGAUAACCGCUGAAAGCAUCUAAGCGGGAAACUUGCCUUGAGAUGAGUCUUCCCUGACCCUUUAAGGGUCCUAAAGGAACGUUUAAGACUAAGACGUUGAUAGGUUGGGUGUGUAAGCGUAGCGAUACGUUGAGCUAACCAAUACUAAUGAACCGUGAGGCUUAACCUG